CAGCCGCCGCGGUAAUACGGAGGGUGCAAGCGUUAAUCGGAAUUACUGGGCGUAAAGCGUGCGUAGGUGGUGGUUUAAGUCCGUUGUGAAAGCCCUGGGCUCAACCUGGGAAUUGCAGUGGAUACUGGGUCACUAGAGUGUGGUAGAGGAUAGUGGAAUUUCCGGUGUAGCAGUGAAAUGCGUAGAGAUCGGAAGGAACAUCUGUGGCGAAGGCGACUAUCUGGGCCAACACUGACACUGAGGCACGAAAGCGUGGGGAGCAAACAGGAUUAGAUACCCCGGUAGUCCCUGUCUCUUAUAC
This 301-nucleotide ribosomal RNA is filed under the name uncultured bacterium. RNAcentral's name for it is "partial 16S ribosomal RNA". It matches the Rfam family "Bacterial small subunit ribosomal RNA", at positions 509 to 807 of the family's 1533-position model. The record is from RNAcentral.